Molecule: ribosomal RNA, 767 nt
Filed under: uncultured organism
Description: bacterial SSU rRNA
Rfam family: Bacterial small subunit ribosomal RNA
Source: RNAcentral
UAGAUAGGACACAGUACACCGAUAGCGAAGUCAGCUCACAAAAUUACAACGGACACUGAGGCACGAAAGCGUGGGUAUCAAACAGGAUUAGAUACCCUGGUAGUCCACGCUGUAAACGAUGAUCACUAGCUGUUUGCGAUACAUUGUAAGUGGUUAAGCGAAAGCGAUAAGUGAUCCACCUGGGGAGUACGUCGGCAACGAUGAAACUCAAAGGAAUUGACGGGGGCCCGCACAAGCGGAGGAGCAUGUGGUUUAAUUCGAUGAUACGCGAGGAACCUUACCUGGGCUUGAACGUAUGGUGCAUGAGUGUGAAAGCACUCUUUCCUUCACAGGACUUCAUACGAGGUGCUGCAUGGUUGUCGUCAGCUCGUGCCGUGAGGUGUUAGGUUAAGCCCUGCAACGAGCGCAACCCCUGUUUUUAGUUGCCAGCAGGUUAUGCUGGGCACUCUAGAAAGACUGCCUGCGCAAGCAGAGAGGAAGGUGGGGAUGACGUCAAAUCAGCACGGCCCUUACGUCCAGGGCUACACACGUGCUACAGUGGUCGGCACAGAGGGUGGCUACCCGGUAACGGGAUGCUAAUCUCCAAAGUCGAUCUUAGUUCGGAUCGAAGUCUGCAACUCGACUUCGUGAAGUUGGAUUCGCUAGUAAUCGUAUAUCAGCCAUGAUACGGUGAAUACGUUCCCGGGCCUUGUACACACCGCCCGUCAAGCCAUGGAAGUUGGGGGUACCUGAAGUCGAUUACCGAAAGGGAUUGCCUAGGGUAAACC